UAAUAACUAAAUCUAAAAUUAAAACUCUCUCAAUACUCUCAUCUCUCUCGACACACUUAUCUCUCUCGACACACUGUCUUUCUCUCGCGACUCAGCUCACCCUUGCUCCACCGGUCACGACCGCUCCUCUCCGCUUAUCUCCUGCAAACACUUUGUGACAGCCCUCCACUCACCUUGACUGAAGUCCACUCAUCACCUCCACUGCAACCGCACUCACCUCUGCUCUUCACCUCCGGUAUUUUCUACUCUCUACUCAACUUGGUAAGUUUGAAUUUUCACCUCCGAUAUUCUCUACUCUCUACUCAACUUGAUAAGUUUGAAUCGAACUGGGUAAGUCUUCUCCGCUCAUCUCUUGGUUAAAUCGAAAUCCUAACUUUGUAAAUUUGGGGUUUUUUCAAAUCGAAACCCUAAUUUUGUAAAUUUGGGGUUUUUUCAAAUCAAAACCCUAAUUAACUUCUCUGCCUUUGAAUUUGCUGCAGGACCUUUCUUGGAUACGGUUGUGGAAUUAAAACUUCAAGUAUGAAUUUAAAUUUGAAUUUGUGUGUUGCAACUUUAACUGGGCUUGUGUGUUGAGUUGAAAAUAUGUGUAUUUUAAGUGAGCUUCUUGAUUUUGAUGCCUUUUUUGUAGACAUAGAUUAUGUUUUCCCAUAGUAAUUACUCUAGAAGUUAAUACCCCGCGUUAUGCCUCUGUAUUUCUGCAUGUAAAGGAUUGCAAAAGAGAUACUUAAUGCAAAUAAAUAGUAUUACCUGCUUAAUAUCAACAAGGUUCACGUUAGCUCUUUAAUUAAUAUUGAGGUGGCUUGAGUUAUCACCUGUUUUCAUAAAUCAGUCUAGGACAAACAAAUGUAUUGCCCAUCACAAAUUCAACGAUAGUAGCAAUCCACUUCAUACUUGAGACUAACAUAUAGUGCACUAAUUGUUUUUGUAAUCUCACACACACAGAGGUAAACAUUGGUCACUGGCUAUAACAUAUUUAACCCCACUGACCCAAUUAUUACAUGUAGUAUUCUUAAAAAAAGUGAUGCCAUGAAGUGCCUAAAGAAUUUUCAAAUCUACAAGCACUAUAAUUGUGGACAUUGAUUGUUUCAUUUUGGUAUUUUGGCAUUCUUAAUGGUCGUUUCAUUUGAUGGGUCUUUUUGGCUAGUCUCCGCAGCUUAAGAACAGCCUCGAUAUCAAAACCCUUAUCCUACCCCUUUUCUCUGGAUAUUGUUCUGUUCCCCUGCCAACACAGAAAGUAUGGCCUUCUAGUUAAAGACCUAAAGAUGGCUAGUGUAUGCACUUAUAUUAAAUAUAAGAAUAAUGGGAAAGUCUUCUCAAUUAAAUUCAAUAUAAUGCAACUUUAACCCUGUAUAACAUAUUUAACUCUCACUUUGAAGUGUCUAGGCCAAACAGGAGAUGUGUUAAUGCGGAAUUAGUUUAUUAUGGCGUAGACAGUAAAGAACUGUAUCAUAGACUUUUUUCCUAACCUCUUGUUAGCACAAAAUAUCUUAAUAACAUUAGCAGAUGUAGCACAUAUAGGCUUGAAGUCCAACAAGACAUUGCAAAAGCAUGAAGAAUGGCUACAAAUAAAUUACAAGAAAAAUAACCAAUGCAGGGGCUGAUGAGCGAUCACAAUUAACUGUUGGUGUUAAGUAUACAAAAAUGAGACAAUAUCAAAAUUAACCAGUAAUGUGCAAGUGUACCUCCUGUAUAACAAAUGCACAAAUAUACAAAUGUAGAUAUGAUCAUUUAGUUCAUAACCAUAUUUAAAAUUUUACUAGCCAGUCAUAUCUUGGAUUUUUGACAAGGCAGUGUUGGAACCAAUCUUUUGCCCUAUUGCAGCAGAAGAAAAUGUGAAUAUUUUCUUUUUCGUACAUUUCUUUUCUGAAUAGUGCAGAUAUAAUAAUUGAUUAACUUGUUUCAUCUAUUUUAUUGGUCAAAUAAUUUGAAUAAUUCAUGUGUUCCUUUUAUGAGCACUUGUUAUGUAUGAAUAGGUAAUAGUGGUAAUCCUUUAGUAUUCACUUUCAGGCACCACAGGACGAAGAUGCUACAGAUCUCGAACGUGCAACUUUUGCGCUAUUCAUGCUGCCUGACUGGUACUUCUAAUUGCAAGAGCACAUAUGACCUUUAGGUCUUCUCUGUGUAGUAAAUUGCUAAUUUAGAAAGUUUCUAGUGGUAGCCUUAUGUUUGGUACAUAAUUAAUUAAGGUCAUUCAAUUUGUAGUACCGGAACACUUCAGUUAAAUAAUAGUGGUAGGUCGGUAGUUUGUAUUUUGGUAUAUUUUUCCGGAUUGAUUGAAUUGCUAGUGAUUUUGUGUUUUCAGAUUGAAUUGUUAAGGAUGAACGUGGUAGUUUUUUUGGUUUAUUUUGCGGAUCUGAUAUGUUGGGUGCUGUUGGUUGAUGUAUAAAUUGAAUAGUUGGUUGAUUGAAUUUUUGGCUACA
Molecule: long non-coding RNA, 2420 nt
Filed under: Daucus carota (carrot)
Lineage: Eukaryota; Viridiplantae; Streptophyta; Magnoliopsida; Apiales; Apiaceae
Description: long non-coding RNA (DCAR_LNC000277)
Source: RNAcentral